AAGUCGUAACAAGGUUUCCGUAGGUGAACCUGCGGAAGGAUCAUUAACACGUAUCGUACGUUUAAAAACCCCGUGCACGUUGAUAAAACUUCUUCCAAGUAGUGGUUGAGGCGCGAGUUUUGACCAUGAAAGGCCGCGGCGAUGACGUUCGAACUGGAGCUUUGGGGGAAAAGGGCCCUCGACUGGACGAGCAUGGGCUGGCGAGCCCUGGGGAGGUGAACCAGGUCGCGUAAUUGAAGAAUUUAAACCGAACUAACUUGACAAAACUUGUCCCGUAAAACGGACUCGAAACCCGAACAACUGUUAACAAUGGAUAUCUUGGUUCUC
This 327-nucleotide unclassified non-coding RNA is filed under the name fungal sp. RNAcentral describes it as "partial internal transcribed spacer region". The stretch from base 1 to 46 matches the Rfam family "Eukaryotic small subunit ribosomal RNA", at positions 1786 to 1831 of the family's 1831-position model. Lineage: Eukaryota; Fungi. The record is from RNAcentral.